GGNNGCUAUACAUGCAAGUCGGACGGGAUUGGAGAGCUUGCUUUCCAUGAGAGUGGCGCACGGGUGCGUAACACGUAUGUAACCUACCUUGUUCAGGGGGAUAGCCUCUCGAAAGAGAGAUUAAGACCGCAUAACAUUAUUGAAUGGCAUCGUUUAAUAAUCAAAUAUUUAUAGGAACAAGAUGGGCAUGCGGAACAUUAGCUAGUUGGUAAGGUAACGGCUUACCAAGGCUACGAUGUUUAGGGGAUCUGAGAGGAUGACCCCCCACACUGGUACUGAGACACGGACCAGACUCCUACGGGAGGCAGCAGUAAGGAAUAUUGGUCAAUGGGCGGAAGCCUGAACCAGCCAUGCCGCGUGCAGGAAGACGGCCCUAUGGGUUGUAAACUGCUUUUAUACUGGAAUAAACCUUGAUUCGUGAAUCAAGCUGAAUGUACAGUAAGAAUAAGGAUCGGCUAACUCCGUGCCAGCAGCCGCGGUAAUACGGAGGAUCCAAGCGUUAUCCGGAUUUAUUGGGUUUAAAGGGUGCGUAGGUGGUUCUUUAAGUCAGGGGUGAAAGACGGCAGCUUAACUGUCGCAGUGCCUUUGAUACUGAAGAACUUGAAUGAACUAGAGGUAGGCGGAAUGUGACAAGUAGCGGUGAAAUGCAUAGAUAUGUCACAGAACACCAAUUGCGAAAGCAGCUUACUAUGGUUUGAUUGACACUGAGGCACGAAAGCGUGGGGAUCAAACAGGAUUAGAUACCCUGGUAGUCCACGCCCUAAACGAUGAAUACUCGAUGUUGGCGAUAUACGGUCAGCGUCUAAGCGAAAGCGUUAAGUAUUCCACCUGGGGAGUACGCCCGCAAGGGUGAAACUCAAAGGAAUUGACGGGGGCCCGCACAAGCGGAGGAGCAUGUGGUUUAAUUCGAUGAUACGCGAGGAACCUUACCCGGGCUUGAAAGUUAGUGAAUAAAGCANANACGCUUUAGUCCUUCGGGACACGAAACUAGUGCUGCAUGGCUGUCGUCAGCUCGUGCCGUGAGGUGNUGGGUUAAGUCCCGCAACGAGCGCAACCCCUAUGUUUAGUUGCCAGCACGUCANGGUGGGGACUCUAACNGACUGCCUAUGCAANUNGAGAGGAAGAGGGGACGACGUCAGUCAUCAUGGNCCUUACGUCCGGGCUACNCACGUGCUACNAUGGGCAGU
This 1187-nucleotide ribosomal RNA is filed under the name Sphingobacteriaceae bacterium kmd_206. Its description in RNAcentral is "bacterial SSU rRNA". It matches the Rfam family "Bacterial small subunit ribosomal RNA", at positions 45 to 1238 of the family's 1533-position model. Lineage: Bacteria; Pseudomonadati; Bacteroidota; Sphingobacteriia; Sphingobacteriales; Sphingobacteriaceae. The record is from RNAcentral.